AUAAUAAUAUAAAAUACUGGCGGAAAUUCCUAAGCAACUCUUACAAAGCGAGUUGCUGGCCCUGCAGCAACUAUUAUGGAAUUUGAGCAACGUCACUAGUGCUGGUGGCACAAAUAACAGCACCUGGUACAUAAUGUAAAGUGGUUUGCGUUAGGAAGGGCAUCCAGCCAUUGAAACCAAGCCAAAGCAGACAAUUGGGGCACAAUGCAAUCGUUGGGGCCCUCACAUACUGUCCUAUGCCUGCAUGGACCAUUAACUGAUGAUGACGACAAUGGUGGUAGUGGUGAUGGUGGUGAUGACGAUGAUGACAACACCAAUGGCGCUGAUAGACCCUCCAGCCUUCAUCAGGUGUCUUGGGGAAAUUUCCAACCUGGGUUCUCAUUCCUAAG
This is a long non-coding RNA of Octopus bimaculoides (California two-spot octopus), 389 nucleotides long. NCBI's taxonomy places the organism in Eukaryota, Metazoa, Mollusca, Cephalopoda, Octopoda, Octopodidae. The record is from RefSeq and is a predicted model, not a curated record.